RNAcentral lists this ribosomal RNA (477 nucleotides) under uncultured Planctomycetales bacterium. Its description in RNAcentral is "bacterial SSU rRNA". It matches the Rfam family "Bacterial small subunit ribosomal RNA", at positions 365 to 832 of the family's 1533-position model. Lineage: Bacteria; Pseudomonadati; Planctomycetota; Planctomycetia; Planctomycetales. The record is from RNAcentral.
UUCGCAAUGCCCGAAAGGGUGACGAAGCGACGCCGCGUGGGUGAGGAAGGCCUUCGGGUUGUAAAGCCCUGUCAGGAGUUAAGAAAUGUAGACUCGCUAAUAUCGGGUCUAUUUGACGAAGGCUCCAAAGGAAGCCACGACUAACUCUGUGCCAGCAGCCGCGGUAAUACAGAGGUGGCAAGCGUUGUCCGGAAUUAUUGGGCGUAAAGAGCACGUAGGUGGAUUUGUAAGUCAGACGUGAAAGCCUUCUGUUCAACGGAAGAAUUGCAUCUGAAACUACAAACCUUGAGUGUAGGAGGGGAGAAUGGAACUUCUGGUGGAGCGGUGAAGUGCGUAGAUAUCAGAAGGAACGCCGGCGGCGAAAGCGAUCCUCUGGCCUAUUACUGACACUCAGUGUGCGAAAGCUAGGGGAGCAAACGGGAUUAGAUACCCCGGUAGUCCUAGCCGUAAACGAUGGGCACUAAGUAGAGGGGUUUU